GUAGGGGAACCUGCGGCUGGAUCACCUCCUUAACGAAAGAUUGGUGACUGGUAAGAAUCCACAACAAGUUGUUCUUCGAUGAUGUAUCUGAGGGUCUGUAGCUCAGUUGGUUAGAGCACACGCUUGAUAAGCGUGGGGUCACAAGUUCAAGUCUUGUCAGACCCACCAAAUCUGAUUGCAGUAGCUUAGAUUGAAAGAUAUGUCGUUCAUUAAGUGAUAAGCUGGGGACUUAGCUUAGUUGGUAGAGCGCCUGCUUUGCACGCAGGAGGUCAGGAGUUCGACUCUCCUAGUCUCCACCAAAUUCGAGGAUAAACAAAGCAACGCUUUGUCCGAGAAUUUAAGCAAACAGCUAUGCUGUGCGCAGGCACACAUAGGAUGUAGCUUGAAGCUAAGAAGAUUAUAGAGUUUAGUGAAUACAGUCCAAGUUGACUGGUUUAUUAAUCUCUGUGAUUUAUCACAGUUUACUACGCACCGACGAGGUGGUAGUUAAUCAUUAACAGAUUAGUAGAAUUGAGUCUGAAAUAAAUUGUUCACUCAUUCUUUGAUUUAAACAUUUCGAUGUUUAAGUUGAAUGAAAUGAGAACUAGCAAAAACACUGAAUCAAGCGUUUUGGUAUAUGAAUUUAGAUUGAAGCUGUACGGUGAUUAAGUUCACGAAACAACAAGCUGUAUGAAUUAAUGUUUACAUUGAUUCUGUUGCUACACCCACUUGUAGGUGUAACGACUGUUUGGGGUUGUAUAGUCAAGUAAUUAAGUGCAUGUGGUGGAUGCCUUGGC
This 776-nucleotide transfer RNA is filed under the name uncultured bacterium. RNAcentral's name for it is "partial 16S-23S ribosomal RNA intergenic spacer". The stretch from base 92 to 165 matches the Rfam family "tRNA". The record is from RNAcentral.